UGCCAGCCGCCGCGGUAAUACGUAGGGGGCCAGCGUUGUCCGGAAUCAUUGGGCGUAAAGCGCGUGUAGGCGGUUCGAUAGGUCCGAUGUAAAAACUCGAGGCUCAACUUCGAGAGGUCAUCGGAAACCAUCGGACUAGAGUCCGGAAGAGGAGAGUGGAAUUCCUGGUGUAGCGGUGAAAUGCGCAGAUAUCAGGAAGAACACCGAUGGCGAAGGCAGCUCUCUGGGACGGUACUGACGCUGAGGCGCGAAGGCGUGGGUAGCGAACGGGAUUAGAUA
This 279-nucleotide ribosomal RNA is filed under the name uncultured bacterium. RNAcentral's name for it is "partial 16S ribosomal RNA". It matches the Rfam family "Bacterial small subunit ribosomal RNA", at positions 506 to 784 of the family's 1533-position model. The record is from RNAcentral.